UCAAUUAUUGGCAACCAAUAUUAUAGAAUUACACGAACAGAAGCCGAGAAAAGGAGAAUUGGAGACAAGUAAUUGCUGGAAGAAAGACGACACAUGCAGAAAACAUUGAAGAGGAAAUCGACGACAAAAUCAUUGACAUAAAAAUUAAUUAUGUACCGUCGAAAUUUUUGGUGAUGUCCUUCCACUUUUAUUUGUUCAUUAAUUUUAACAGCAUGUUAGGCUAAUUCUUUUUUGUGUAUUGGAUGAGAUGAACCCUAAUGCUUAUUUAUUUCUAAUUCAAGACAAGUAAUUUAGUUUAAUUAUUGUCUUUCUUGAUUGGUUUUACAUUCUCAUUGAACUAUUUAAUUGCUUGAUCACAAAUUAGAUAGUAAGUUACUUAUUGUAGUGUAGUAAUACUCACAAUAAGUUUAGAACACGGUAAAAUCAACACAUGGGCAAUAGGUAUUAGGAAUAAUCUCUAUGGCAUGUGCAAUCGAGUGUGAUAAAUCUUGGAAAAGAAUAUUGAACAAAAGUGGAUUAUCGAUUAUCUUGAAUGCGUGAAAUUAUCUAAAUUACGAAUUAAGAAUUGGAAUAAAUGGCAAU
This 582-nucleotide long non-coding RNA is filed under the name Olea europaea (common olive). RNAcentral describes it as "long non-coding RNA (OEUR_LNC005485)". The record is from RNAcentral. Lineage: Eukaryota; Viridiplantae; Streptophyta; Magnoliopsida; Lamiales; Oleaceae.